AAAUGAAUAGACGGGGGCCCGCACAAGCAGCGGAGCAUGUGGUUUAAUUCGAAGCAACGCGAAGAACCUUACCAAGGCUUGACAUCCCUCUGAAGUAUUUAGAGAUAAGUACGGACUCUUCGGAGUACAGAGGAGACAGGUGGUGCAUGGUUGUCGUCAGCUCGUGUCGUGAGAUGUUGGGUUAAGUCCCGCAACGAGCGCAACCCUUAUCUUUAGUUGCCAGCACUUAGGGUGGGCACUCUAGAGAGACUGCCGGGGAUAACUCGGAGGAAGGUGGGGAUGACGUCAAAUCAUCAUGCCCCUUAUGUCUUGGGCUACACACGUGCUACAAUGGUCUGAAACAGAGGGAAGCGAAGGCGCAAGCUGGAGCAAAUCCCACAAACCAGGCCACAGUUCGGAUUGUGGGCUGCAACCCGCCCACAUGAAGCCGGAGUUGCUAGUAAUCGCGAAUCAGCAUGUCGCGGUGAAUGCGUUCCCGGGCCUUGUACACACCGCCCGU
RNAcentral lists this ribosomal RNA (499 nucleotides) under uncultured bacterium. RNAcentral's name for it is "bacterial SSU rRNA". It matches the Rfam family "Bacterial small subunit ribosomal RNA", at positions 903 to 1397 of the family's 1533-position model. The record is from RNAcentral.